This 301-nucleotide ribosomal RNA is filed under the name uncultured bacterium. RNAcentral describes it as "partial 16S ribosomal RNA". It matches the Rfam family "Bacterial small subunit ribosomal RNA", at positions 509 to 809 of the family's 1533-position model. The record is from RNAcentral.
CAGUCGCCGCGGUAAUACGGAGGGUGCAAGCGUUAAUCGGAAUUACUGGGCGUAAAGCGCACGCAGGCGGUCUGUCAAGUCAGAUGUGAAAUCCCCGAGCUUAACUUGGGAACUGCAUUUGAAACUGGCAAGCUAGAGUCUUGUAGAGGGGGGUAGAAUUCCAGGUGUAGCGGUGAAAUGCGUAGAGAUCUGGAGGAAUACCGGUGGCGAAGGCGGCCCCCUGGACAAAGACUGACGCUCAUGCACGAAAGCGUGGGGAGCAAACAGGAUUAGAUACCCCGGUAGUCCCUGUCUCUUAUAA